GACGAGAGGGGCGAGCGUUAUCCGGAAUAACUGGGCGUAAAGGGUCCGUAGGUUGUAUUUUGUAUGCUUUUAGUAAAAGACAAAAAUUUAAUUUUUGAAAUGCUUUAAGUACAGAUCUACUAGAGUUUAGCAGAGGAUAAUAGAAUUCCAUGUGGAGGGGUGGAAUCCUAAGAUAUAUGGAGGAAUGCCAGUAGCGAAAGCGAUUAUCUGGGCUAUUACUGACACUGAGGGACGAAAGCGUAGGUAGCAAACAGGAUUAGAUACCCUGGUAGUCCCUGAG
RNAcentral lists this ribosomal RNA (280 nucleotides) under uncultured prokaryote. RNAcentral's name for it is "partial 16S ribosomal RNA". It matches the Rfam family "Bacterial small subunit ribosomal RNA", at positions 524 to 799 of the family's 1533-position model. The record is from RNAcentral.